GCUCAGUGGGCGCAGAGUCGCCGGCGCUGUUGUUUGUUUCACGGGUCUGUGCGCAGCGCCUGCCGCCGCCUAACAAUCCCUCUCUCAUUGUGUGCGCGGCCCCCGUUUUGCCUGGGUCAGCGGCUCCCGGGGUGCGUCCGUUCCCCGUCUUUCCUUCUCGUGCGCUUCCGCGGAGUGGUUUGUCCGCGCCGCUUGCCCGCUGAGAGGGGGCGUCCCCUCAGCCCGCGCCCCUUUUCUCCCCGCUCCUGGCCGGGGGCUUGCGGCGCUUCCUUCUGGAUGCGUCCCCGCAGCCCCGGGCGGGAGGCGGCCAGGGGGGAAGCGCUGCCUCCGAGGAUUUACCGCCGCCUGGGACUCGGACCCGCUCCUUCCCGGCGGGCGCACCCGGCGCCCCGGCUCCGCUGCCGCUCCGGGCCGCCGCUGCCAUGGACGAGAAGUACCUGCCCGAGCUGAUGGCGGAGAAGGACUCGCUGGACCCGUCCUUCACCCACGCCUUGCGGCUGGUCAACCAAGAAAUUGAAAAAUUCCAAAAAGGGGAAGGAAAGGAAGAAGAAAAGUAUAUUGAUGUAGUCAUCAAUAAGAAUAUGAAGUUGGGACAAAAAGUUCUGAUUCCAGUAAAACAAUUCCCUAAGUUCAACUUUGUGGGAAAACUUCUGGGUCCACGUGGUAAUUCUCUAAAACGUUUACAGGAAGAAACACUGACAAAAAUGUCUAUUUUGGGGAAAGGCUCUAUGAGGGACAAGACAAAGGAGGAAGAGUUGAGAAAAAGUGGAGAAGCUAAAUAUUUCCACCUAAAUGACGACCUACAUGUUUUGAUUGAAGUAUUUGCUCCACCUGCAGAAGCAUAUGCCAGAAUGGGACAUGCCUUGGAAGAAAUCAAGAAGUUCCUCAUCCCUGACUACAAUGAUGAAAUCAGACAGGCACAGCUUCAAGAGUUAACAUAUUUAAAUGGUGGCUCAGAAACUGCAGAAGUUCCAGUUGUCCGUGGAAAAUCAUCAAUUCGAGCCAGAGGAGUGCCUGUUCCUGCUUUGUCCAGGGGCCGUGGGGGAGUGCCUCCACCACCAGCAGGAGUGCCCAGAGGGGCACCAGCCCCGCGGGGAGUCCCUCCCAGCCGAGGACCAGUGAGCCGGAGCCGGGGACUGCUGGCCCCCAGAGCACGAGGAGUUCCUCCCCCGGCAGGGUACCGGCCCCUGCCGCCGCCGCCCGCCCAGGACACCUACGGGGAGUAUGAGUAUGAUGAUGGCUAUGGAGCUGCUUAUGAUGAGCAAAGCUAUGAUUCCUAUGAUAACAGCUAUAGCACUCAAGCACAAAGUGGAGCAGAUUACUACGACUAUGGCCACGGACUGACUGAAGACACCUACGACUCCUACGGGCAAGAAGAAUGGACCAACUCACGACACAAGACACCUUCUGCAAGGACAACAAAAGGAGUCUACAGAGACCAGCCAUAUGCCAGAUACUGAUUGUACUGUCUGAUGUUGUGAAAUAUCCAAUCUCCACCAGUCCUGUAUACUGUUCAAAGUAAUUUUUUCUAUGAACAAUCCCUUUUUAUUAACUCAAAGUGCAUAAAAAAUCUGAGUGGAUGGACUGAACUUAAAAACAUUUUGUUGAAAGAACAACCUGGACAGAAAGAUAUGUAAAACAAGGAACUUUGUUAUUUCCAAACUGUGUUUGAAAGAAUAGGUGAUCAGAAAAAUAACCUUUGAUUAACUAGUGUUAAACAAAAAUAGGUUUACUAAAUACAUUAGUCCAUUCUUUUUAACAUAACAUUAUUUGAAAGGUUUUCAACAAUUUAGUUUAUAGCUUUUAUUUUCAGCCAUUUGCUAGAUUUUCUCUUUGCAAACAUGCGUAAAAAGGGAAGCAAACUACAAAUGCGAAUAAUGUGGUAUUUUGUAACUCAAGUCUUGAAAUGUUCUGUAGUGUUAAGCAAAGUUUUACCCUUGCUUGAUACUAAAUAAACUUUUGAAAGAAAAUCAGUGUGUGUGAGAUUAAUUUUAUGCUUUAUCUUAUAAUAAAACUUCAUAAAUAGUAGUAAACAGGGAGAAAUGUUUAACAGUGAUCAGCAUAAAAGGCUCAUAUUAAACACUGUGCAACUUCUUUUAAAACAAAAUGGUUUAAACCUAAAUGUAUCUCUCUAUAUACUCACAGUAGAUAUAAAUGCUGUUUAAAAUAUCCAAAUGGUAUGGAUCUGCUGGAGUGCCACAUUAAAUCAAAAUACUUUUGUUAAAAAAAAAAUGGUUUAAAAUAGCAAAUGAAUUUUCUGGAAAAAGAUGUGACUAGUUUUCACCUUGUUGAGCAUUUUUUCACUAGUGCAACUUGGGAAUUUUUAUGAGAAUUUUGGUACGUUAAUGACCACCUCGCUCCGUGCUGGAAGCAAUAAACACAAAGCUUUUAAAGACUUUCUGACUUGACUAAUUGAGGUCGCUUUCGCCAGAGGCAGAGGAUGUGUAACCCUUAAAACGGUCUUCAUUUGCAAAGGAAACUCACCUUCUUGGACAGCCAAAAGAACAAAAACCCUAAUCUUCUGAUGCUUUGGAACUUCUGCCAUGUUAAUUAUGGACUGCUUAGAGCACUGUACUUACCCUUGUGCUCAGACAUUGACGAGACCGAGUAUGAAAAUACUGCUCAGCAUUUCUUGUAUGAAAGCCUUAAAGUGUAUAACAGCAAACAUACACUUUUUAAAAUAAUUGUAUAUUGAAACAAUUAACUGUAUAGUUAUGUAUAGUGUUGCAACAAUGUUUUAUUUGGAGCUCAAUAAAGAAUUUCCAUCUAAGUUCCUGUUACAAAGCAAUAAUGCAACCUCCCAUUCUUUAGUGACUCUUUUUAGCCUUAUGCAGCAAGUGUAAGAGAGUGCGUGAAGUCUCAUGACUAGAACUUAAAUGCUUUUGGAAAUAGCUUGUCUAAUGUAUGAACAACAUGGAUAAGUUAAAAUGAAGAUUGGUGUUUUCUGCUGAAGCUUUUCUUAAUAGCUAAUUGUAAACAAAUCUGCUCCAGACAAGACUCUUGGGUAAAAAUAAUGCUCCAACUUCCAUUUCCUUCAAAAACUUGUAUAACAAAAAAAUGUUUAAUCCCUGUCAAUUAUUAUAUCAAUAAGGAGCAAUCCCUGCUGCUUAUUCUCUUUCACUUGGUGUUUGAUGCAUAGAAAUCUUUUCUCUGAUACACAGUCACAGAUUUUCUAGUAGUAGUCUUGGAUGAGGCUUUUACACCUUGAUAAAUCUUGUAUCCAACAGUCAUGUUUCCUCAGUGCUUUCUGUUUUAUAUUAAUUGUGAUUGUGAUAAUUUGUAACAGAAAUAAAGUUCUGAUAAUUU
This is an RNA transcript of Oenanthe melanoleuca, 3306 nucleotides long. It is a transcript of the gene named KH RNA binding domain containing, signal transduction associated 3, with no coding region annotated. The record is from RefSeq and is a predicted model, not a curated record. The transcript is spliced from 11 exons. NCBI's taxonomy places the organism in Eukaryota, Metazoa, Chordata, Aves, Passeriformes, Muscicapidae.